GCCCGGAUGGCGAAAUUGGUAGACGCAGGGGAUUCAAAAUCCCCCGCCGCAAGGCGUGUCGGUUCGAGUCCGACUCUGGGCA
This is a transfer RNA of Chromobacterium violaceum ATCC 12472, 82 nucleotides long. It matches the Rfam family "tRNA". From Rfam's summary of the family: Transfer RNA (tRNA) molecules are approximately 80 nucleotides in length. Their secondary structure includes four short double-helical elements and three loops (D, anti-codon, and T loops). Further hydrogen bonds mediate the characteristic L-shaped molecular structure. tRNAs have two regions of fundamental functional importance: the anti-codon, which is responsible for specific mRNA codon recognition, and the 3' end, to which the tRNAs corresponding amino acid is attached (by aminoacyl-tRNA synthetases). tRNAs cope with the degeneracy of the genetic code in two manners: having more than one tRNA (with a specific anti-codon) for a particular amino acid; and 'wobble' base-pairing, i.e. permitting non-standard base-pairing at the 3rd anti-codon position. The record is from Rfam. Lineage: Bacteria; Pseudomonadati; Pseudomonadota; Betaproteobacteria; Neisseriales; Chromobacteriaceae.